AGGAAUAUUUAACUGUGAUUGAUCGAUGUGCUUACAGUUACGAUUAAAACUUUUUCGCAUGUCGUGACUUUGAAGUUCUUAAAAAAGGAUCUUACGACAGUCAUCGAAGUGUUUGUUAUCCGUCAUAUAUUUUUGACAUAAAGAAAUAUGUCAUUGAACACGGCGCAUACCAACGGUGGAGUUCUUCUCCACGCAGGUGAAUGCAUUAUACUCUUCUCCGACAAUGUCACGAUGGAAUUUCACGGACAGGAGCAGCCGGAAUUCAUCGGGAAGAAGCAAGGCAGAUUGUACUUGACGACGCAUAGAAUGAUUUUUAACUCCAAGGACCAAAGGGACAGGAUGCUGUCCUUCAGCUUUCCAUUUGUGACAUUGAGCGAAGUUGGAUUGGAGCAACCAGUAUUCGGGGCAAAUUAUAUAGGUGGCAAGUGCCGUGCCCAGCCGAAUGGUAACUGGAUCGGAGAAUGCAAAUUUAAGUUACGAUUCAAGAGCGGAGGAGCAGUGGAUUUUGCGCAAGCUUUGUUGAGAGUAGCGUCAAUGGCUCAACGCAAUGGGCCUUCCAAUGAUGCGCCACCACCAUAUACCCCUCCAUUAUCCGAUUGGUAUCCUGCGCAACCUUCAGCUUAUCAGCCUCCACCAACUGGAUAUUAUGGAUGGAUACCUCCAACCAAUGUAUUUCCCGAUGUUCCACCAGGAAAUACGGUCUUUGUGACGGAUAGUCCGCCACCGUAUCCCGGUAUACAGCCGGGAUAUGGAUAUGCAAGCGGGCCGCCGCAUCAAGGUGCCGGAGGUGUAGGUAUGGGACAGUCAGGAUCUCCCGGAUGGGCUAAUCCGAAUUACAACGGCCAGCCGAUGUCUCAAGCAGAUGCAAAAGCCGCUGAAGCUGCGCAGAGCGCAUAUUAUGAUCCUAAUAGACCUCAAUGCGCUUACGUUCCACCACCAGAAUAUUACGAAAGUCCGCCGGCUUAUGCUAAGAAGUAUCAGUGAAUAUUUGUUGCAAGUGAAUUAUAUAGUGCAAUCGAUAUGCAUUCCACUUUAGACGAAUACUGCAAAAUUAUUCAAGAUGAAGGCUGAAGAUGAAUGCUACUAUUGUUACAGCGCUAUGCAACGUUAAAGCACAGGCAUUAUAUAUUGUAAGGUAUUUGCAACUAUGUAUUAACGCGAGUAUUUAAAAUUACUUCUUAUGUA
This 1185-nucleotide unclassified non-coding RNA is filed under the name Camponotus floridanus (Florida carpenter ant). Its description in RNAcentral is "wW domain-binding protein 2, transcript variant X1". The record is from RNAcentral. Lineage: Eukaryota; Metazoa; Arthropoda; Insecta; Hymenoptera; Formicidae.